Long non-coding RNA from Melanotaenia boesemani (Boeseman's rainbowfish), 670 nucleotides. RefSeq lists it as uncharacterized. The record is from RefSeq and is a predicted model, not a curated record. NCBI's taxonomy places the organism in Eukaryota, Metazoa, Chordata, Actinopteri, Atheriniformes, Melanotaeniidae. The transcript has 4 exons.
GGGAACUCCCACACGUCUUCAUUCAAAAGUAAUCUGUUCGGGUUUUUCCAGGAUCAUUUCCAACCAUCCCCUGACAAGUAAACGCUCCUUCAGGGAGCAUAUACAAGUUGAACAGAAGAGGUCCAAGGACUGACCCCUAAAGACAGCAAAGCUACCAGGAUGUCCUGCCUUUGGAUGAGUCUGAGUCUGCUCUUUGUCCUACAGCACAGCGUCUCAUCAGAUGAAGACGUGAAAGUGAACUGCCCCCAAACAGUGGAAGUCAAAGCUGGGGACUCAGCAAUGAUAAACUGCAGCAUAAAAUGCAACGGAAUUUACUGUAAUGGCACAAGUUUUAACUGGAGUGAUACACGUGAACCUGAUCUGUGUGAAAAUAACAACAGCUACAAGUGUGAAUGGGAUAACAGGACCUAUGUGUCGCUGACCAUCCUGAAAGCCAUGACGGAUGAAACUGUCAGAGUUAAUGUUUUAUUAGUAUGUGGUUUGUACGACAAUAGUACACAAAUAAAGAUCCAAGCGUCUUCUGAGAAAAUAGAGAGCCCAUCUGACGACACGGGGAGUUGGACCAUUGUGAUAGCCAUCAUGAUUUCUGUUUUCAGUGUCAUCAUUAUUGUAGGAAUUUUAUUUUUCCUGUAUCGAACCAAAAAGUUCUCAAAAACUGCCUCACACCAAG